RNAcentral lists this transfer RNA (63 nucleotides) under Vema ewingi. RNAcentral's name for it is "tRNA-Asn". Lineage: Eukaryota; Metazoa; Mollusca; Monoplacophora; Tryblidiida; Neopilinidae. The record is from RNAcentral.
AUAAGUUAAAGCUAAAAAGAAGCAUGUAGUUGUUACCUGCAAGACUGUAAUUCCACUAACUUA